GGAUGAGAUCGUACCAGCAUUGAUGAACUAGAUCCCAUCAGAAUUAUUAAGUUAAAAGUGCUUUUGGAUGAGUCUAGUACUAGGGUAGUGACCCUUGGAAGUCCUCUUGUUGCAUCUC
Non-coding RNA from Solanum lycopersicum (tomato), 118 nucleotides. NCBI's taxonomy places the organism in Eukaryota, Viridiplantae, Streptophyta, Magnoliopsida, Solanales, Solanaceae. The record is from Rfam.